UUGGAGGGCAAGUCUGGUGCCAGCAGCCGCGGUAAUUCCAGCUCCAAUAGCGUAUAUUAAAGUUGUUGCAGUUAAAAAGCUCGUAGUUGAACUUCGGGGUUUACUCAUUGGUCAGGCUUAGGUGUCUGCACUGGUGAGAUGGAUCUCUACCUUCUGAGGAACUUUCAUGCCAUUUGUUUGGUGUGAUGGGAAAUCAGGGCUGUUACUUUGAAAAAAUUAGAGUGUUUAAAGCAGACUAUCGUCUGAAUACAUUAGCAUGGAAUAAGGAAAUAGGACGGACUGAUUCUAUUUCGUUGGUUUCUAGGAUCACCGUAAUGAUUAAUAGGGAUAGUUGGGGGCGUUAGUAUUCAAUUGUCAGAGGUGAAAUUCUUGGAUUUAUUGAAGACUAACUAUUGCGAAAGCAUUUGCCAAGGAUGUUUUCAUUAAUCAAGAACGAAAGUUAGGGGAUCGAAGACGAUCAGAUACCGUCGUAGUCUUAACCAUAAACUAUGCCGACUAGGAAUCGGGCGUCGUUAUUUUAAUGACUCGUUCGGCGCCUUACGGGAAAC
This 548-nucleotide ribosomal RNA is filed under the name uncultured Diversispora. RNAcentral's name for it is "SSU rRNA". It matches the Rfam family "Eukaryotic small subunit ribosomal RNA", at positions 548 to 1098 of the family's 1831-position model. Lineage: Eukaryota; Fungi; Glomeromycota; Glomeromycetes; Diversisporales; Diversisporaceae. The record is from RNAcentral.